RNAcentral lists this ribosomal RNA (440 nucleotides) under uncultured bacterium. RNAcentral's name for it is "partial 16S ribosomal RNA". It matches the Rfam family "Bacterial small subunit ribosomal RNA", at positions 338 to 795 of the family's 1533-position model. The record is from RNAcentral.
CCUACAGGAGUCAGCAGUGGGGAAUAUUGCACAAUGGGGGGAACCCUGAUGCAGCAACGCCGCGUGGGUGAAGAAGUACUUCGGUAUGUAAAGCCCUGUCAGCAGGGAAGAAAAUGACGGUACCUGACCAAGAAGCCCCGGCUAACUACGUGCCAGCAGCCGCGGUAAUACGUAGGGGGCAAGCGUUAUCCGGAUUUACUGGGUGUAAAGGGAGCGUAGACGGCAAGGCAAGUCUGGAGUGAAAGCCCGUGGCUCAACCACGGGACUGCUUUGGAAACUGUGUUGCUGGAGUGCAGGAGGGGUAAGCGGAAUUCCUAGUGUAGCGGUGAAAUGCGUAGAUAUUAGGAGGAACACCGGUGGCGAAGGCGGCUUACUGGACUGUAACUGACGUUGAGGCUCGAAGGCGUGGGGAGCAAACAGGAUUAGAUACCCCGGUAGUC